GAUGAACGCUGGCGGCGUGCUUAACACAUGCAAGUCGAACGGAAAGGCCUCUGCUUGCAGGGGGCCUCGAGUGGCGAACGGGUGAGUAACACGUGGGUGCUCUGCCCUGCACUUCGGGAUAAGCCUGGGAAACUGGGUCUAAUACCGGAUAGGACCAUGGUUUGGAUGCUGUUGUGUAAAGUUUUUCGGUGUGGGAUUAGCUCGCGGCCUAUCAGGUUGUUGGUGGGGUAAUGGCCUACCAAGGCGUCGAGGGGUAGCCGGCAUGAGAGGGUGUACGGCCACAGUGGGACUGUGAGAGAGGCCACACUGCGACGGGUGGGAGAAGGGGGGAAUAUUUGACAAUGGGAGCAAGCGUGAGGCAGCGAGGCCGUGUGGGUGAUGACGACCUUCGGGUUGUAAACACCUCUCGCUAGGGACGAAGCGGUUUUGUGACGGUACCUGGAGAAGAAGCACCGGCUAACUACGUG
RNAcentral lists this ribosomal RNA (467 nucleotides) under uncultured bacterium. RNAcentral describes it as "partial 16S ribosomal RNA". It matches the Rfam family "Bacterial small subunit ribosomal RNA", at positions 28 to 507 of the family's 1533-position model. The record is from RNAcentral.